RNAcentral lists this ribosomal RNA (518 nucleotides) under uncultured bacterium. RNAcentral's name for it is "bacterial SSU rRNA". It matches the Rfam family "Bacterial small subunit ribosomal RNA", at positions 26 to 518 of the family's 1533-position model. The record is from RNAcentral.
AGGACGAACGCUGGCGGCGUGCCUAAUACAUGCAAGUCGAACGGCUUUUCCAUGGAAGCUUGCUUCCACUGAGAAGAUAGUGGCGAACGGGUGAGUAACACGUGGGUAACCUGCCCAUAAGAGGGGGAUAACAUCCGGAAACGGGUGCUAAUACCGCAUAGUUUUCUUGAUCGCAUGAUUGAGAAAGGAAGACGGCCUUUGUGCUGUCGCUUAUGGAUGGACCCGCGGCGUAUUAGUUAGUUGGUGAGGUAACGGCUCACCAAGACGAUGAUACGUAGCCGACCUGAGAGGGUGAUCGGCCACAUUGGGACUGAGACACGGCCCAAACUCCUACGGGAGGCAGCAGUAGGGAAUCUUCCGCAAUGGACGAAAGUCUGACGGAGCAACGCCGCGUGAGUGAAGAAAGGUUUUCGGAUCGUAAAACUCUGUUGUCAGAGAAGAACAAGUUGGAGAGUAACUGCUCCAGCCUUGACGGUAUCUGACCAGAAAGCCACGGCUAACUACGUGCCAGCAGCCGC